This 380-nucleotide ribosomal RNA is filed under the name uncultured bacterium. RNAcentral describes it as "bacterial SSU rRNA". It matches the Rfam family "Bacterial small subunit ribosomal RNA", at positions 28 to 410 of the family's 1533-position model. The record is from RNAcentral.
GAUGAACGCUAGCGGCAGGCUUAACACAUGCAAGUCGUGGGGCAGCGCGGACUUCGGUCUGGCGGCGACCGGCAAACGGGUGCGGAACACGUACGCAACCUCCCUCAGAGCGGGAAUAGCCUCUCGAAAGAGAGAUUAAUACCCCAUAGUAUCUUGAAGACACAUGUCUAUGAGAUUAAAGCUUCGGCACUUUGAGAUGGGCGUGCGGCUGAUUAGGUAGUUGGUAGGUAACGGCCUACCAAGCCGACGAUCAGUAGCUGAUGUGAGAGCAUGAUCAGCCACACGGGCACUGAGACACGGGCCCGACUCCUACGGGAGCAGCAGUGAGGAAUAUUGGUCAAUGGAGGAAACUCUGAACCAGCCAUGCCGCGUGGAGGAUG